Long non-coding RNA from Quercus robur (English oak), 1522 nucleotides. RefSeq lists it as uncharacterized. Lineage: Eukaryota; Viridiplantae; Streptophyta; Magnoliopsida; Fagales; Fagaceae. The record is from RefSeq and is a predicted model, not a curated record. The transcript has 3 exons.
UUGUUUUAGAAAGUUUUAAACUAUAAUUUUUGCUCUUGACAAUAGCUCUCUUUUUCGUCAAACUAAGACACCAAUUGAUUUUUGGUGUAAGCGGAGAUUAAGGGGCUGUUUGGGUGAAAAAAAUGCUCUCUCAUCACUCAUCACUCCAAUAUUAUCACUCUAUAACUCAUCACUUAUCACUGAAAAUAAUCCAACUUCCUUAGGUGACAUGUUUGACACUUGUUUCCAACUUCUGCUAACUCAAAAAUUUUUACUUUUUGUGGGACUCCUAGAUUGACUUGGUGCAGCUUUUACUGAUCGGCUACCUUCGUGAACAAACUCACUGAACCCAAUAUUACUUCUUCUUCUUUUUUUCUUUUUCUUUUUUCCUUCAACCCCCAAUACCCAAACUCACCGAACCCAAAUUGCUCUCAAGCACUGUUCAUCGCCUCCCUCUUCAUCCAUUUACCGAACCCAGAUUGCUCUAAUCGCCUCCUUCCACCUUAGUCUUCGGGACUAUGCUUCUUGAUCAGAUUGGUGGACACUAGGCAUCCACUUCUCGGCCCGGGCGGUGGCAACUAGGCAUAGCAUAGGAUAGCAUUUUAGCCUUGCUUGGUUUACUUGGGUCAAAUCAACCUCUAAGUCCAUCAAGCUCAAAUCUUUCUCUCUUGGGCUUCAUUUUCUCCCAGUUUUCCCAUCUGGGUGUCUCUUGGUUUUGAGAUCUGGUGGAGAUUUUGGCUGUCUGGGGCAAGGAAUUUAAUUGGGUUAUCAUUGAAAAUUCAGUCUGAUCGAUUUGGUUUGAGAACCUAAAAUGGAGAUGGAAGACACAAACAAAUCUGGUUCUUCCUUGCCAAGCGGCUCUCCCUUGAGAACCAAACAUUGUUCCUUGCCAGCUAUGUGGUUUCCUUUGCCAUUUUCAUGAUCACCCUCGUCAUUGUCGCCUAGCAGCUCAACCUUAGGAUCACCAUCACCUUUAUGCCCAUUAAAUGACGAGUAAGUGUUUGAUAUGUAGUUAAUCAUUUUGGGAUGGUGGAAAAGUAAUGAUCUCAAGUAUCCUACUUUAGAAAGGAUUGCAAGAGAUAUUUUAGUUAUUCAUGUCACAACUGUUGCUUCAGAAUUUGCCUUUAGCACUAGUGGGAGACUUUUAAGUCCACACCGUAGUAGGCUACAUCCCAAGACUAUAGAGGCAAUGAUGUGUGCUUAGAAUUGGUUAUGGAGUGAAAUCAACGGUUCUUCAACUAUGUCUGGAGAUUGUACACUUCAAUCAAUUCUUGAUGAUGGGGAGCCUAAUGAAGAGGAUGGGAGUUGUGUUACAAUUGUGAAGGAUUAGACAUUUUGUAUUAAUUUAGUAGUCUUUUUAAUUUCUUAGACUUGUUGGAUUAAUUUGUUGCUUUGUAAUUAUUCUAAGCUUUUUUAGCCUUUUGUAAUUUCUUAGCCUUUUUUAAUUUGUUGGUUUGUGGAGGAUAAGACAUUUUGUAAUUUCUUAGCCUUUUUAAUUUCUUAGACUUGUGGGAUUUAUUUUGUAGCUUUUUAAUUUCUUGAA